This 1196-nucleotide ribosomal RNA is filed under the name Schistosoma mansoni. Its description in RNAcentral is "SSU rRNA". It matches the Rfam family "Eukaryotic small subunit ribosomal RNA", at positions 218 to 1322 of the family's 1831-position model. Lineage: Eukaryota; Metazoa; Platyhelminthes; Trematoda; Strigeidida; Schistosomatidae. The record is from RNAcentral.
GACGUCGGCUGUGCCUGUUACAUUCUGUGAUGACUCUGGAUAACUUUACUGAUCGCAGUCGGCCUUGUGUCGGCGACGGAUCUUUCAAAUGUCUGCCCUAUCAAUUUGUUGGUAGGUGAUUUGCCUACCAUGAUGAUAACGGGUAACGGGGAAUCAGGGUUCGAUUCCGGAGAGGGAGCCUGAGAAAUGGCUACCACAUCCAAGGACGGCAGCAGGCGCGAAAAUUACCCACUCCCGGCACGGGGAGGUAGUGACGAAAAAUACGUAUACGGGACUCAAUUGAGGCUCCGUAAUUCGAAUGAGUACAAUUUAAAUCCUUUAACGAGGACCAAUUGGAGGGCAAGUCUGGUGCCAGCAGCCGCGGUAACUCCAGCUCCAAAAGCGUAUAUUAAAGUUGCUGCAGUUAAAAAGCUCGUAGUUGAAUCUGGGUCGUGCGGUCGCAUGCCGUUGCUUGUUCACGGUUUUGGUUACGAUCAGGACCAGUGUUCAGCUCGGUGUAGUGGCUGUGCAGCCUUUCAGCCGUGUCUGUGUUAAACGGGUGCUGGUGGGUUGACGAGUUCGUCUUGUUGACCUGUCGGCAUGCUUCCGGAUGCCUUUAAACGGGUGUCGGGAGCGGACGGCAUCUUUACUUUGAACAAAUUCAGUGCUCAAAGCAGGCCUAUGUGCCUGAAAAUUCUUGCAUGGAAUAAUGAAAUAGGACUUCGGUUCUAUUUUGUUGGUUUUCGGAUCCGAAGUAAUGGUUAAGAGGGACAGACGGGGGCAUUUGUAUGGCGGUGUUAGAGGUGAAAUUCUGGGAUCGCCGCCAGACAAACUACAGCGAAAGCAUUUGCCAAGAAUGUUUUCAUUGAUCAGGAGCGAAAGUCAGAGUUUCGAAGACGAUCAGAUACCGUCGUAGUUCUGACCAUAAACGAUGCCAACUGACGAUCCGCGUUGGUUCUAUAAUUGACAUCGCGGGCAGUCCCCGGGAAACCUUUAAGUCUUUGGGCUCCGGGGGGAGUAUGGUUGCAAAGCUGAAACUUAAAGGAAUUGACGGAAGGGCACCACCAGGAGUGGAGCCUGCGGUUUAAUUCGACUCAACACGGGAAAACUCACCCGGCCCGGACACUGUGAGGAUUGACAGAUUGAUAGCUCUUUCUUGAUUCGGUGGGUGGUGGUGCAUGGCCGUUCUUAGUUGGUGGAGCGAUUUGUCUGGUAUC